Molecule: ribosomal RNA, 196 nt
Filed under: uncultured Bacillus sp.
Lineage: Bacteria; Bacillati; Bacillota; Bacilli; Caryophanales; Bacillaceae
Description: partial 16S ribosomal RNA
Rfam family: Bacterial small subunit ribosomal RNA
Source: RNAcentral
UCCUACGGGAGGCAGCAGUAGGGAAUCUUCCGCAAUGGACGAAAGUCUGACGGAGCAACGCCGCGUGAGUGAUGAAGGCUUUCGGGUCGUAAAACUCUGUUGUUAGGGAAGAACAAGUGCUAGUUGAAUAAGCUGGCACUUUGACGGUACCUAACCAGAAAGCCACGGCUAACUACGUGCCAGCAGCCGCGGUAAU